Molecule: unclassified non-coding RNA, 244 nt
Filed under: uncultured fungus
Lineage: Eukaryota; Fungi
Description: partial contains 5.8S rRNA and ITS2
Source: RNAcentral
AACGCACAUUGCGCCCCUUGGUAUUCCAUGGGGCAUGCCUGUUCGAGCGUCAUUUGUACCCUCAAGCUUUGCUUGGUGUUGGGCGUUUUGUCUUUUCACAAAGACUCGCCUCAAAGUAAUUGGCAGCCAGUGUUUUGGUAGUAAGCGCAGCACAUUUUGCGUCUUAGUCCCUUGACAGCGGCAUCCACAAAGCCUCUUUCUCACUUUUGACCUCGGAUCAGGUAGGGAUACCCGCUGAACUUAA